AGCAGCCGCGGUAAUUCCAGCUCCAAUAGCGUAUAUUAAAGUUGUUGCAGUUAAAAAGCUCGUAGUUGAAUUUCGGGACCAAUCUGCCGGUCGUGCCUCCGGUACGCACUGGUUUUAUUGGUUUCUCCCUUCUGACGAACCAUGAUGUCAUUAAUUUGGUGUCAUGGGGAAUCAGGACUGUUACUUUGAAAAAAUUUAGAGUGUUUAUAGCAGGCUCACGCUUGAAUACAUUAGCAUGGAAUAAUGAAAUAGGACGUUUGACCCUAUUUUGUUGGUUUCUAGGAUCGACGUAAUGAUUAAUAGGGAUAGUUGGGGGCAUUAGUAUUCAAUUGUCAGAGGUGAAAUUCUUGGAUUUAUUGAAGACUAACUACUGCGAAAGCAUUUGCCAAGGAUGUUUUCAUUAAUCAAGAACAAAAGUUAGGGGAUCGAAGACGAUCAGAUACCGUCGUAGUCUUAACCAUAAACUAUGCCGACUAGGGAUCGAUGAUGUUAUUUUUUAAUGACAU
Molecule: ribosomal RNA, 506 nt
Filed under: uncultured Glomus
Lineage: Eukaryota; Fungi; Glomeromycota; Glomeromycetes; Glomerales; Glomeraceae
Description: SSU rRNA
Rfam family: Eukaryotic small subunit ribosomal RNA
Source: RNAcentral